This 335-nucleotide RNase P RNA is filed under the name Tenericutes bacterium MO-XQ. Its description in RNAcentral is "RNase P RNA component class B". It matches the Rfam family "Bacterial RNase P class B". From Rfam's summary of the family: Ribonuclease P (RNase P) is a ubiquitous endoribonuclease, found in archaea, bacteria and eukarya as well as chloroplasts and mitochondria. Its best characterised activity is the generation of mature 5'-ends of tRNAs by cleaving the 5'-leader elements of precursor-tRNAs. Cellular RNase Ps are ribonucleoproteins. The record is from RNAcentral. Lineage: Bacteria; Bacillati; Mycoplasmatota.
AGUGGAAGGUGACCGAGCCUAAUAUUUAGGUUAGGAAAGUCCAUGCUAGCACAUUCUGUAAUGAAUGUAGUGUUUGUGCCUAAGGAAACAAUAACUUAGGGUGCAUCAAUUGAUGUAACGGCGUUUGAUGAUCUAAAGCUUCGGCUAUGAUCUAGAACUUAAUGUGCCACAGAGACGAGUCACUUAGAAAUAAGUGAAUGAAACGCGGUAAACCCCUCAAGCUAGCAACCCAAAAUUUGGUAGGGGCACGCAUAUGAGCGAACAAAAGUGAAUAUGCGCUACACAGUAGAGAUAAAUGGUCACACCCGUAAGGGAACAGAACAUGGCUUAUGCAC